UUGCUUGUGGGCUCGACUCUGGGUGUCAGCCUCAUCGUCUGCCCUCUCACGUGGCUCGGUUUCUCCCUUGGGUGAUCUUAGAUCACUGUGGGUACUCAGAUUACUGAUGGAUCAGUUCUUAGGAGUGAUCCCCUGGAUGAGCAAGUCCUUCUCUGAUGAGUGGGUUUCCCUCGGAGACGCUGCAGGGUAUGAGUCCUCUGCCUCCACCACUCCUGUAAUUUCGCGGUUGCCUGCGAAAGCUGUAACUGACCAGGAGGGUCUUGUUCCUCUUCUUGGGAGCAGAAGCUCUCAUGUGCUGUCUUCACUUUUAUCCCAACAGAUUCUAUUCAGGCAGCCAAAUUGAGGCAAAGCAUCAGAUCAGUCUCUUACCUGACCCCUCAGCCCAGGCCAAUCAGCCUCCUUCAACUGACCAAACCCUGGUCCCCCUCAGCCAGCCGCCACCCCAGCGCCUUUUGACUGCGUGGGCAUUACCCAUCAGCAUCUUCCAGCCAGCUUCCCCCGCCCCAAUGUCUGUCAUCUCUGUGGGUAUUUUCCUGGUGUCUUUCAACUAGGCCCCCUGCCCGGUACCUUUUAACUGGGACACCAGGUGCCUGGUAAACCCGGGAUCAUAAACCAACACAGGAAAUCUGAGAAACAAGAAGGACACACCCAAAUUUGUUUCGACCCCCAGUGAGGUGGGCAGGUGCAAGGGGCUCCUGCCGGUACCCAGGCUCUGAUUCCUUGUAAAGUUCAGGCGAAGGAGAGACGUCUGCCAUGGGCCCUUCGAGGUCGUCAAAACUGCCACCUGAAAAAGGUGCAGCGUGAGAGUCGUGAGUUAAGUUUUAUUUGGGGCAAAAUGAGGACUAAAGCCCGAGAGACAGCCGUUCCGAUGGCUCUGAGAAAAUGCCCCAGAGAGUUCAGGGGUGGGGUGAAUACACGGAGGAUUCUGGUGAGGGUGCGUGCGGUCAGGCACCCAUUUUGGCAGGGGCUUGCUGCUGGUCUCGGGAAAGUCACUGUUUGUCACAGGGAGCAGAUGCUACCACUGGGCAUUUCACUGCUUUUCCAGACAAGGAGAUGCAAGCACUGGGGCCACGAAGUCUUCUCGUGGAAGCAUCCGACGCUCUGAAGACCCCUUCGGCCGGUUUUCCCUGGCGCAGAGGCCUCACUCCUGACCUCACCCCCACCUCCUUUUAGUUGUCUGAAGCAGUGAAGCUGGGGCGCUCAGCAGGCUGAUGAGAAGACGAGAGAAAGCCCAGGUCAAGCGCGCAUCUGGCGAUGAGGGGCCAGGCUCAUCUCCCUGCCAGCCUGGGUGUGACCAGGAGCAGCCUGGGGUCCAGCAGAGGCAAGAAAGGCGGCCCUGAGGGCCGUGGGCACCGGAGCGGCCACGCAAAGCCCUGCGGCCCAACAUGGCUGGUCUGUGGGAGAAGAGGACAGGGCAGUGGCUGUGGAGACAGCUGGCCGCCUGCCACUGCUGCCAACUCGGCCCCCUGGACACGUGCCCAAUGGCUCCCACCGCUCUUCAGUCCAGCAGGAUCUCAGGUGAGAGGCCAAGCCGCUGGGAGG
This is a long non-coding RNA of Phacochoerus africanus (Common warthog), 1542 nucleotides long. RefSeq lists it as uncharacterized. NCBI's taxonomy places the organism in Eukaryota, Metazoa, Chordata, Mammalia, Artiodactyla, Suidae. The record is from RefSeq and is a predicted model, not a curated record. The transcript is spliced from 4 exons.